RNAcentral lists this ribosomal RNA (254 nucleotides) under uncultured bacterium. RNAcentral's name for it is "partial 16S ribosomal RNA". It matches the Rfam family "Bacterial small subunit ribosomal RNA", at positions 524 to 776 of the family's 1533-position model. The record is from RNAcentral.
UACGAAGGGGGCUAGCGUUGCUCGGAAUUACUGGGCGUAAAGCGUGCGCAGGCGGUUCGUUGUGUCGGCGGUGAAAGCCCCGGGCUUAACCGUGGGAAUGGCCGUUGAAACUGGCGAACUGGAGUGUGGCAGAGGGGGUGGAAUUCCGGCGUGUAGCAGUGAAAUGCGUAGAGAUGCGGAGGAACACCGAUGGCGAAGGCAGCCCCCUGGGCUAACACUGACGCUCAGGCACGAAAGCGUGGGGAGCAAACAGG